This 45-nucleotide non-coding RNA is filed under the name Schistosoma mattheei. The record is from RNAcentral. Lineage: Eukaryota; Metazoa; Platyhelminthes; Trematoda; Strigeidida; Schistosomatidae.
AUCCAGCUGACGAGUCCCAAACAGGGCGAAACGCGCGGCCUGGAU